Molecule: ribosomal RNA, 92 nt
Filed under: Muribaculaceae bacterium
Lineage: Bacteria; Pseudomonadati; Bacteroidota; Bacteroidia; Bacteroidales; Muribaculaceae
Description: partial 23S ribosomal RNA
Rfam family: Bacterial large subunit ribosomal RNA
Source: RNAcentral
GGUCGUCAGAGACGAUGACGUCGAUAGGACGCAGGUGCAGAGGCGGCAACGUCUACAGCCGAGCGUUACUAAUCACCCGAACCCUUUCCGGG